Molecule: ribosomal RNA, 249 nt
Filed under: uncultured bacterium
Lineage: Bacteria
Description: partial 16S ribosomal RNA
Rfam family: Bacterial small subunit ribosomal RNA
Source: RNAcentral
UACGGGGGGGCAAGCGUUGUUCGGAAUACUGGCGUAAGGCGUCGUAGGUGGCCAACUAAGUCGGACGUGAAAUCCCUCGGCUUAACCGGGGAACUGCGUCUGAUACUGGAUGGCUUGAGUUCGGGAGAGGGAUGCGGAAUUCCAGGUGUAGCGGUGAAAUGCGCAGAUAUCAGGAGGAACACCGGUGGCGAAGGCGGGUCUCUGGGCCGAUACUGACGCUGAGGAGCGAAAGCGUGGGGAGCGAACAGG